Long non-coding RNA from Mytilus trossulus (common blue mussel), 414 nucleotides. RefSeq lists it as uncharacterized. Lineage: Eukaryota; Metazoa; Mollusca; Bivalvia; Mytilida; Mytilidae. The transcript is spliced from 3 exons. The record is from RefSeq and is a predicted model, not a curated record.
UAGACAUAUAAUUAUGAUGAUUAAUUUUCAGUAUAAAGUAACUGUACACAUUUAUAUCUAUCAUUUUUAUUAAUAGAUCAACUUGGAAACGUAACGUCGAAAUGUGGAAACUUAUUUUAACUAUUUCACUUCUGGUGGUGUUGAAUACAGGUAUCGGCAUGGCCCGAACAUGUAGUAAUUGUCCUGAUAGUGAGCAGGCGAGAUGUUUCGUUAGUCCAUGCCGCGAUCAUAAGUGUCCAUGGGGCACAAGAUGCUGCGAAAACUACUGUGGAGGAUGUUAUUACAAGUGUAUCUACUAAUGGUAUGUCUUGUGAAAUGCCGAAUGAGCACAAUUUAUUCUACUGACAAAACUAAUGUUUGAAAAAAAUUUCAAACACGUUUACGUACAGAAAUAAAGAGUUUAAUCUCCUUAAA